This 468-nucleotide ribosomal RNA is filed under the name uncultured bacterium. RNAcentral's name for it is "partial 16S ribosomal RNA". It matches the Rfam family "Bacterial small subunit ribosomal RNA", at positions 28 to 507 of the family's 1533-position model. The record is from RNAcentral.
GACGAACGCUGGCGGCGUGCUUAACACAUGCAAGUCGAACGGAAAGGCCCUGCUUUUGUGGGGUUCUCGAGUGGCGAACGGGUGAGUAACACGUGAGUAACCUGCCCUUGACUUUGGGAUAACUUCAGGAAACUGGGGCUAAUACCGGAUAGGAGCUCCUGCUGCAUGGUGGGGGUUGGAAAGUUUCGGCGGUUGGGGAUGGACUCGCGGCUUACCAGCUUGUUGGUGGGGUAGUGGCUUACCCAGGCUUUGACGGGUAGCCGGCCUGAGAGGGUGAACGGCCACAUUGGGACUGCGAGACGGCCCAGACUGCUACGGGAGGCAGCAGUGGAGAAUAUUGCACAAUGGGCGGAAGCCUGAUGCAGCAACGCCGCGUGCGGGAUGACGGCCUUCGGGUUGUAAACCGCUUUCGCCUGUGACGAAGCGUGAGUGACGGUAAUGGGUAAAGAAGCACCGGCUAACUACGUG